This 1394-nucleotide ribosomal RNA is filed under the name uncultured bacterium. Its description in RNAcentral is "bacterial SSU rRNA". It matches the Rfam family "Bacterial small subunit ribosomal RNA". The record is from RNAcentral.
GCAGCAUGAUCUAGCUUGCUAGAUUGAUGGCGAGUGGCGAACGGGUGAGUAAUACAUCGGAACGUGCCCUGUAGUGGGGGAUAACUAGUCGAAAGAUUAGCUAAUACCGCAUACGACCUGAGGGUGAAAGUGGGGGACCGCAAGGCCUCAUGCUAUAGGAGCGGCCGAUGUCUGAUUAGCUAGUUGGUGGGGUAAAGGCCCACCAAGGCGACGAUCAGUAGCUGGUCUGAGAGGACGAUCAGCCACACUGGGACUGAGACACGGCCCAGACUCCUACGGGAGGCAGCAGUGGGGAAUUUUGGACAAUGGGGGCAACCCUGAUCCAGCAAUGCCGCGUGUGUGAAGAAGGCCUUCGGGUUGUAAAGCACUUUUGUCCGGAAAGAAAUCGCACUUACUAAUAUUAGGUGUGGAUGACGGUACCGGAAGAAUAAGGACCGGCUAACUACGUGCCAGCAGCCGCGGUAAUACGUAGGGUCCAAGCGUUAAUCGGAAUUACUGGGCGUAAAGCGUGCGCAGGCGGUUGUGCAAGACCGAUGUGAAAUCCCCGGGCUUAACCUGGGAAUUGCAUUGGUGACUGCACGGCUAGAGUGUGUCAGAGGGGGGUAGAAUUCCACGUGUAGCAGUGAAAUGCGUAGAGAUGUGGAGGAAUACCGAUGGCGAAGGCAGCCCCCUGGGAUAACACUGACGCUCAUGCACGAAAGCGUGGGGAGCAAACAGGAUUAGAUACCCUGGUAGUCCACGCCCUAAACGAUGUCAACUAGUUGUUGGGGAUUCAUUUCCUUAGUAACGUAGCUAACGCGUGAAGUUGACCGCCUGGGGAGUACGGUCGCAAGAUUAAAACUCAAAGGAAUUGACGGGGACCCGCACAAGCGGUGGAUGAUGUGGAUUAAUUCGAUGCAACGCGAAAAACCUUACCUACCCUUGACAUGCCACUAACGAAGCAGAGAUGCAUUAGGUGCUCGAAAGAGAAAGUGGACACAGGUGCUGCAUGGCUGUCGUCAGCUCGUGUCGUGAGAUGUUGGGUUAAGUCCCGCAACGAGCGCAACCCUUGUCUCUAGUUGCUACGAAAGGGCACUCUAGAGAGACUGCCGGUGACAAACCGGAGGAAGGUGGGGAUGACGUCAAGUCCUCAUGGCCCUUAUGGGUAGGGCUUCACACGUCAUACAAUGGUGCAUACAGAGGGUUGCCAAGCCGCGAGGUGGAGCUAAUCCCAGAAAAUGCAUCGUAGUCCGGAUCGUAGUCUGCAACUCGACUACGUGAAGCUGGAAUCGCUAGUAAUCGCGGAUCAGCAUGCCGCGGUGAAUAUGUUCCCGGGUCUUGUACACACCGCCCGUCACACCAUGGGAGUGGGUUUUGCCAGAAGUAGUUAGCCUAACCGUAAGGAGGGCGAUACC